UAAAGCGCACGCAGGCGGUCUGUCAAGUCGGAUGUGAAAUCCCCGGGCUCAACCUGGGAACUGCAUUCGAAACUGGCAGGCUUGAGUCUUGUAGAGGGGGGUAGAAUUCCAGGUGUAGCGGUGAAAUGCGUAGAGAUCUGGAGGAAUACCGGUGGCGAAGGCGGCCCCCUGGACAAAGACUGACGCUCAGGUGCGAAAGCGUGGGGAGCAAACAGGAUUAGAUACCCUGGUAGUCCACGCCGUAAACGAUGUCUACUUGGAGGUUGUGCCCUUGAGGCGUGGCUUCCGGAGCUAACGCGUUAAGUAGACCGCCUGGGGAGUACGGCCGCAAGGUUAAAACUCAAAUGAAUUGACGGGGGCCCGCACAAGCGGUGGAGCAUGUGGUUUAAUUCGAUGCAACGCGAAGAACCUUACCUGGUCUUGACAUCCACGGAAGUUUUCAGAGAUGAGAAUGUGCCUUCGGGAACCGUGAGACAGGUGCUGCAUGGCUGUCGUCAGCUCGUGUUGUGAAAUGUUGGGUUAAGUCCCGCAACGAGCGCAACCCUUAUCCUUUGUUGCCAGCGAUUAGGUCGGGAACUCAAAGGAGACUGCCAGUGAUAAACUGGAGGAAGGUGGGGAUGACGUCAAGUCAUCAUGGCCCUUACGACCAGGGCUACACACGUGCUACAAUGGCGCAUACAAAGAGAAGCGACCUCGCGAGAGCAAGCGGACCUCAUAAAGUGCGUCGUAGUCCGGAUUGGAGUCUGCAACUCGACUCCAUGAAGUCGGAAUCGCUAGUAAUCGUGGAUCAGAAUGCCACGGUGAAUACGUUCCCGGGCCUUGUACACACCGCCCGUCACACCAUGGGAGUGGGUUGCAAAAGAAGUAGGUAGCUUAACCUUCGGGAGGGCGCUUACCACUUUGUGAUUCAUGACUGGGGUGAAGUCGUAACAAGGUAACCGUAGGGGAACCUGCGGUUGGAUCACCUCCUUACCUUAAAGAA
Molecule: ribosomal RNA, 982 nt
Filed under: Salmonella enterica
Lineage: Bacteria; Pseudomonadati; Pseudomonadota; Gammaproteobacteria; Enterobacterales; Enterobacteriaceae
Also listed under: 2 other names
Description: partial 16S ribosomal RNA
Rfam family: Bacterial small subunit ribosomal RNA
Source: RNAcentral